This 367-nucleotide RNase P RNA is filed under the name Gammaproteobacteria bacterium. RNAcentral's name for it is "RNase P RNA component class A". It matches the Rfam family "Bacterial RNase P class A". Rfam says of the family: Ribonuclease P (RNase P) is a ubiquitous endoribonuclease, found in archaea, bacteria and eukarya as well as chloroplasts and mitochondria. Lineage: Bacteria; Pseudomonadati; Pseudomonadota; Gammaproteobacteria. The record is from RNAcentral.
GGAGUCGACCGAAUGGCCGCAGCCGCGGAUCCGGUGGAUUGCGAGGUUGAGGAAAGUCCGGGCUCUAUAGGACGGAGUGCCAGGUAACACCUGGGGGACGCGAGUCCACGGAAAGUGCCACAGAAAAUAUACCGCCGGUAAUGAUCGGUAAGGGUGAAAAGGUGCGGUAAGAGCGCACCGCGCUGCUGGUAACAGUGGCGGCAGGGUAAACCCCACUCAGAGCAAAACCAAAUAGGAAGACAGGCAGUUUCGGCUGUAACGUGUGGUCCGCACGGUCUUCGGGUAGGUUGCUAGAGGCCUGUGGUGACACAGGUCCCAGAUGAAUGGCCAUUCUCGACAGAACCCGGCUUACAGGUCGACUCCCUCC